This 488-nucleotide ribosomal RNA is filed under the name uncultured Propionibacterium sp. RNAcentral describes it as "partial 16S ribosomal RNA". Lineage: Bacteria; Bacillati; Actinomycetota; Actinomycetes; Propionibacteriales; Propionibacteriaceae. The record is from RNAcentral.
CACGUAGUUAGCCGGUGCUUCUUUACCCAUUACCGUCACUCACGCUUCGUCACAGGCGAAAGCGGUUUACAACCCGAAGGCCGUCAUCCCGCACGCGGCGUUGCUGCAUCAGGCUUCCGCCCAUUGUGCAAUAUUCCCCACUGCUGCCUCCCGUAGGAGUCUGGGCAGUAUCUCAGUCCCAAUGUGGCCGGUCACCCUCUCAGGCCGGCUACCCGUCAAAGCCUUGGUAAGCCACUACCCCACCAACAAGCUGAUAAGCCGCGAGUCCAUCCCCAACCGCCGAAACUUUCCAACCCCCACCAUGCAGCAGGAGCUCCUAUCCGGUAUUAGCCCCAGUUUCCUGAAGUUAUCCCAAAGUCAAGGGCAGGUUACUCGCGUGUUACUCACCCGUUCGCCACUCGAGCACCCCACAAAAGCAGGGCCUUUCCGUUCGACUUGCAUGUGUUAAGCACGCCGCCAGCGUUCGUCCUGAGCCAGGAUCAACUACU